RNAcentral lists this ribosomal RNA (253 nucleotides) under uncultured bacterium. RNAcentral's name for it is "partial 16S ribosomal RNA". It matches the Rfam family "Bacterial small subunit ribosomal RNA", at positions 524 to 776 of the family's 1533-position model. The record is from RNAcentral.
UACGAAGGGUGCAAGCGUUACUCGGAAUUACUGGGCGUAAAGCGUGCGUAGGUGGUUUGUUAAGUCUGAUGUGAAAGCCCUGGGCUCAACCUGGGAAUUGCAUUGGAUACUGGCAGGCUAGAGUGCGGUAGAGGAUGGCGGAAUUCCCGGUGUAGCAGUGAAAUGCGUAGAGAUCGGGAGGAACAUCUGUGGCGAAGGCGACUACCUGGCCCAUUCUUGACGCUGAGGCGCGAAAGCUAGGGGAGCGAACGGG